RNAcentral lists this ribosomal RNA (253 nucleotides) under uncultured bacterium. RNAcentral's name for it is "partial 16S ribosomal RNA". It matches the Rfam family "Bacterial small subunit ribosomal RNA", at positions 524 to 776 of the family's 1533-position model. The record is from RNAcentral.
UACGGAGGUGGCAAGCGUUGCUCGGAAUCACUGGGCGUAAAGGGCGCGUAGGCGGGGAGGUAAGUCGGGUGUGAAAUCCCUCGGCCCAACUGAGGAACUGCGCCCGAGACUGCUUCUCUUGAGUCCCGGAGAGGAAGAUGGAAUUCCCGGUGUAGCGGUGAAAUGUGUAGAUAUCAGGAGGAACACCGGUGGCGAAGGCAGGUCUCUGGGCCGAUACUGACGCUGAGGAGCGAAAGCGUGGGGAGCGAACAGG